This 70-nucleotide ribosomal RNA is filed under the name Gallibacterium anatis. Its description in RNAcentral is "partial 16S ribosomal RNA". Lineage: Bacteria; Pseudomonadati; Pseudomonadota; Gammaproteobacteria; Pasteurellales; Pasteurellaceae. The record is from RNAcentral.
GAUUUAAGAGCGAGAUUAAAUUGAAGAGUUUGAUCAUGGCUCAGAUUGAACGCUGGCGGCAGGCUUAACA